This 468-nucleotide ribosomal RNA is filed under the name uncultured bacterium. RNAcentral's name for it is "partial 16S ribosomal RNA". It matches the Rfam family "Bacterial small subunit ribosomal RNA", at positions 28 to 507 of the family's 1533-position model. The record is from RNAcentral.
GACGAACGCUGGCGGCGUGCUUAACACAUGCAAGUCGAACGGAAAGGCCCUGCUUUUGUGGGGUGCGCGAGUGGCGAACGGGUGAGUAACACGUGAGUAAGCUGCCCUUGACUUUGGGAUAACUUAAGGAAACUGGGGCUAAUACCGGAUAGGAGCUCCUGCUGCAGGGUGGGGGUGGGAAAGUUUCGGCGGUUGGGGGUGGACUCGCGGCUUAUCAGCUUGAUGGUGGGGUAGUGGCAUACCAAGGCUUUGACGGGUAGCCGGCCUGGGAGGGUGACCGGCCCCAUUGGGCCUGAGAUGCGGCCCAGACUCCUACGGUAGGCAACAGUGGGGAAUAUUGCACAAUGGGCUGAAGCCUGAUGCAGCAACGCCGCGUGCGGGAUGACGGCAUUCGGGUUGUAAUCCGCUUUCGCCUGUGACGAAGCGUGAGUGACGGUAAUGGGUAAAGAAGCACCGGCUAACUACGUG